CCUACGGGUGGCUGCAGUGGGGAAUAUUGCACAAUGGGCGCAAGCCUGAUGCAGCCAUGCCGCGUGUGUGAAGAAGGCCUUCGGGUUGUCAAGCACUUUCAGCGGGGAGGAAGGCGGUGAGGUUAAUAACCUCAUCGAUUGACGUUACCCGCAGAAGAAGCACCGGCUAACUCCGUGCCAGCAGCCGCGGUAAUACGGAGGGUGCAAGCGUUAAUCGGAAUUACUGGGCGUAAAGCGCACGCAGGCGGUCUGUCAAGUCGGAUGUGAAAUCCCCGGGCUCAACCUGGGAACUGCAUUCGAAACUGGCAGGCUAGAGUCUUGUAGAGGGGGGUAGAAUUCCAGGUGUAGCGGUGAAAUGCGUAGAGAUCUGGAGGAAUACCGGUGGCGAAGGCGGCCCCCUGGACAAAGACUGACGCUCAGGUGCGAAAGCGUGGGGAGCAAACAGGAUUAGAUACCCGAGUAGUC
Molecule: ribosomal RNA, 465 nt
Filed under: uncultured Klebsiella sp.
Lineage: Bacteria; Pseudomonadati; Pseudomonadota; Gammaproteobacteria; Enterobacterales; Enterobacteriaceae
Description: bacterial SSU rRNA
Rfam family: Bacterial small subunit ribosomal RNA
Source: RNAcentral